This 377-nucleotide ribosomal RNA is filed under the name uncultured bacterium. Its description in RNAcentral is "bacterial SSU rRNA". It matches the Rfam family "Bacterial small subunit ribosomal RNA", at positions 906 to 1281 of the family's 1533-position model. The record is from RNAcentral.
GGAAUUGACGGGGGCCCGCACAAGCGGUGGAGCAUGUGGUUUAAUUCGACGCAACGCGCAGAACCUUACCAGCCCUUGACAUGUCCAGGACCGGUCGCAGAGAUGUGACCCUCUCUUCGGAGCCUGGAGCACAGGUGCUGCAUGGCUGUCGUCAGCUCGUGUCGUGAGAUGUUGGGUUAAGUCCCGCAACGAGCGCAACCCCCGUCCUUAGUUGCUACCAUUUAGUUGAGCACUCUAAGGAGACUGCCGGUGAUAAGCCGCGAGGAGGGUGGGGAUGACGUCAAGUCCUCAUGGCCCUUACGGGCUGGGCUACACACGUGCUACAAUGGCGGUGACAAUGGGAAGCAAAGGGGCAACCCCUAGCAAAUCUCAAAAAA